Molecule: long non-coding RNA, 820 nt
Organism: Trichomycterus rosablanca
Lineage: Eukaryota; Metazoa; Chordata; Actinopteri; Siluriformes; Trichomycteridae
Exons: 4
Source: RefSeq, a predicted model, not a curated record
AUCUGUGUAAAGGUGAAGGUCGCGCUGUCAUUCCUCAACGUUUCGCUAAGUUUUUGCUUUAUAUUUUUAUUUUUAAAGAUUUAUGGUAAGACCAAAUGGAGGUGACUGAACGUUUCAUCAUGGGAGUCUGAAGUCUGACAGGAGUUUAAACCUAAACAUGUUUUGAAAUCUAGGAAUGUCAGCUCCAUAAAUAGAUGCCUUCACAGAUUGAGAAAGAAAGGAGAAACAAGCAACAGUUUGGGGAAGGCCCUUUACUGUUCAGCAACAACAAGGCAUCCUCAAAAAGGUAACAGCUUUGCAGAUGGCCACAGACAGUUACUCUCUCCGUAUCCUUUCUGACUGAUUUGUCUCUAGUUUUGCAUUUGUGUCCUUGUCACUGCUGGUAUCAAGAGGGGUACCUGCAGCCCGUUUAGGCUGCACAGGUAGUUCAAUUCUUUCAAGAUGGCAAAUCCAUAUGUACCAUCGGAAAAAGGUUUGAAGAGCAUGGGGGAGAUACCAGGACACAAGCCGUUACACACAGAGAGCUGGACAGGGCUGUAGAAAGGCAUCAACCCAGAACUAGGACUGCUAUCUGCUCGUAUGUGUGAGGAGGAACAGGAGGCACUGCCAGAGCCCUUUAAAAUAACUGCCAUAGAACACAGCACUGUGCCAAAAACGGUGCACCGUCACAGAACACCAGAACUGGAGGCUUUUUGGAGUGUGUUACAAGCAUCAAAUGCAAAAUGUGUUAAUAUUUACAAAAUUCCAUGAAGUUGCCCAGUGAAAACAUUGAAAAUCUUCUUUUUGUCAAUUAAAUAAAAAAUUCAAGAGAAAUAACAAA